This 253-nucleotide ribosomal RNA is filed under the name uncultured bacterium. RNAcentral's name for it is "partial 16S ribosomal RNA". It matches the Rfam family "Bacterial small subunit ribosomal RNA", at positions 524 to 776 of the family's 1533-position model. The record is from RNAcentral.
UACGUAGGUGGCAAGCGUUAUCCGGAUUUAUUGGGUGUAAAGGGCGUGUAGGCGGGAAUGCAAGUCAGAUGUGAAAACUCAGGGCUCAACCCUGAGCCUGCAUUUGAAACUGUAUUUCUUGAGUGCUGGAGAGGCAAUCGGAAUUCCGUGUGUAGCGGUGAAAUGCGUAGAUAUACGGAGGAACACCAGUGGCGAAGGCGGAUUGCUGGACAGUGACUGACGCUGAGGCGCGAAAGCGUGGGGAGCAAACAGG